Molecule: ribosomal RNA, 301 nt
Filed under: uncultured bacterium
Lineage: Bacteria
Description: partial 16S ribosomal RNA
Rfam family: Bacterial small subunit ribosomal RNA
Source: RNAcentral
CAGUAGCCGCGGUAAUACGAAGGGGGCUAGCGUUGUUCGGAAUUACUGGGCGUAAAGCGCACGUAGGCGGAUUUUUAAGUCAGGGGUGAAAUCCCGAGGCUCAACCUCGGAACUGCCUUUGAUACUGGAGAUCUUGAGUUCGGAAGAGGUUGGUGGAACAGCUAGUGUAGAGGUGAAAUUCGUAGAUAUUAGCUAGAACACCAGUGGCGAAGGCGGCCAACUGGUCCGAUACUGACGCUGAGGUGCGAAAGCGUGGGGAGCAAACAGGAUUAGAUACCCGUGUAGUCCCUGUCUCUUAUAC